RNAcentral lists this long non-coding RNA (4434 nucleotides) under Apis mellifera (honey bee). RNAcentral describes it as "uncharacterized LOC102655594". The record is from RNAcentral. Lineage: Eukaryota; Metazoa; Arthropoda; Insecta; Hymenoptera; Apidae.
CAACUGAUAACGCGUCGAGAGAGUAAUAUAUUCGCGAAUCCGAGCUGAACGUUUGAAAUUGGAAAAUGAAACGUGUAAAAAAAAUUUAAAAUCGACAAUUUAAAUUCUACUUGCAGUGCUACAACUAUGCGAAUAAUUUGUACAUUUUAAAAACAAUUUUAACAAAAAACGGAUAAAUAAUGUAACGGUUCAGACGGACAUACGAGCAUAAUUUACGGGCAUAAAUAUAUCACACGAUUUUCGUCGUUUGGAAUAAUCAGUUGGGAAUCGGAGAAACCGGAGAACUCUAUACACUGAAUGAUCGGCAAUUAGAGAAAGGACCGGGGAGAGUGCAAAGUUGGUUGGUCUGAGGUGAACCGCAGAGCCCGCGACUUCUCUAAAUAAAGGAGAAUAAAGAGGCGAGAGGGAAGUGAGUCACUCGUGGUGUACCGAUGACGAUGAGGAUGACAUCAUUUCUCUGGGACGAGUUUCAAAUUCGGCGAAUACGCGGAGGGGAGGGCGAAUCGCGAGGAAGGAAGGAGCCGGAAGGAAGCGAAUUUCCACUACGAAGAACCAUCUCGCUCUCGAUCUAACCACGAAGAAAAGGCGGUUCUUGGAAUGGAAAAUGGAAAAUUCUACUCGUAUUAGAUAUUAAAAGAAAGAAAAAAUGAAAAAUAAAUGGAAGGAAGGAAAUGAGAUUGCAUCGGAAUCAUAUACGCAUCGCUUUUCUGCCAAGGUUUAGCUUAACCUUUUAAAAAUUCGCAUGGCGGUGAUUCGAGCGAAACAACAAUUUCCAGAAGAAUAUAUACAUCCCAAAGGUAUUAAUUAUAAUCUGAAUUUGCAAUUUGCUUUCAUCCCCGGGAAACCUCGUUUUCAUACGAUUUCCGCACGCGUCCCUAUCGAGCAAUCGCACCAUCAACGAUCGGCCGCUGAAACGUUUAAUUAAAGCGGCGAGGAAUCGCGCAACGAGCGAGUUAUAAUAACUUUUAGCGUGGGUAUAUAUAUAUAUAUCGCGCGCUAUCAAUUAACCAGUGAUAACGAAGGGCGGAAGGAAUAAAGAAGAACGAGAAGGGGAAGAGCGAUCGGUAAAAUGAAUUGCUGGAGGGGCGAGGGGAGGGGGGAACGGAACACGUCGGUGGAACAACAAAAGCGGGAACACGUGUUACCUUUUGCCGGGGGAGUAUUUAAUUCUGAGCGCGUCGCUCGACGACAGAAUCCGGAACAAGUGUUGGCGCGCGCAUAUUUAUAUAACCGGCGAUCACAUCCAGCCGAGGGAACCGUUUAAUUCAAAUUGUUUUCGCGCGGUCUGGCCACUGUGGGAAACAUCUGGCUGGCAGGAAAUCGGCUCGUUUCGAUCAAACUUUCGUGCUGGAUAUAUGGAUAUUUUUUUACAUCGACCAAAUAAUUCGCACAUAGAAAGUUAAACGCUCGAGUCAAAAACCGAUCGAUGAAAUACGAAAAAUCUAUAAGAUAGAAAAAGAUUCGUAAUUCGUAAUUAAAUUAUAUAUACAUAUAAGUUGUGAAGAUUUAUUUCUAGAGAAUUUUCAAAAUUGGAAAAAAAGGAAAAGAAACGUUCUGUUGUCCGUCGAUCUAAAGGAGGUCAGUCGUCCUGCCAGACGAUGCAAGUACGUUGCUCCGAUGCUCAUAUAUACGGGCUCAUAAAAAUUAAAUGAACGCGGUGGACAGACGCGAGAAAGGGGGAAGAUAAAGAGCAAGGGAAAUGAAGGCGGGGGGUGGGCGGGGAAGUACGGGGGGGAUACCAGACGAAUGAAUGAAUCUCACGACUCACACGUGUUCUGCUUUGCUUAUUCAGUCCAUCGUCUGAUUCGACACGCAUUGGCCGACACACAUGCACCGUGUCGCAUUCCUGCUCGCGAGAGGAGCGCGAUGCUGUCUCGUGAACCCCGCUCGAUAUCCCCGCGGUUAUUACAUCGCUUUUGUCGCCGCUUUCGUUCGCAUGAACGAAACACGGACGAAAACGCACGCGAUACGCGAAUUAACACGGGGAGAGGUUCCGAAAAUAGAAACGAUGUAACAAGUACGAUUUUAUAGCAGUUGACGAGGAAGGAUGAGGAAAAUUGGCGGAUGGAAGCAGAUAUAUGCGCGAAUACUUCGUAUAAAAGGCGCAACUGUGCUUUCCUCCUCUUCGAGGGAAUCGAGAAGAGAGUCACGUGGCAACGUGACCGUGAAACAUUGUGUACACGUAUACGUAUAUUUGGAGCAUGCAAAAGUAUCGAAGUUAUCCGCCACGAGUUUCUCUCCAAGCUUUACGAUUUAUUAUUAAAAAUCAACGAGAUAGAAAGAGACUAGAUAAGGGGGAAGAAUUCGUUUCGAUUAAGAAAUGCCACAUAUGUUGCACUCGAAUUCCCUCGGGUUGUUACUUCCUCGUGGCAACAAAACGGAUCCCGUAUUCGAGGAAAUUGCAUGCCGUUACGCGGCGAAUAACGCGGUUGAAAAGACGCAAAACAGCGGAGAAACGCAGAUUCGAAAGAACGCUCCGAAGGAUUUCGUCAUCGCAGAUGCUCACUCGGAAUACUCCGCGAGUCACCGCUCGGACAAGUUUACGGUAAAGCGGCGCAUACCGAUCGCCCGAUUUGCCCGAUAAAUCGACCGUUCUCGAAUUAAGUCGUCGAGAGAGGAUGCUUCCUUAUAUGGAUCGGAUAUUUCUUUCGAUUUGAAAAAUAUUCCAUAAUCUAUUAACGAUUGAUAGUCGGUUAAUCUAAUCGCGCACGUGCGAUAAAACAUUAUUAACACGAAAUUAAAAUGAAAACUUCCAAAUUUUAGUUUUAUUUUUAAAAAGAUAACGAAACUUAAUUUAAAUAAUAAUAUAAAAAUUUUAUUCGUAAUUUUAACGAACGAUAUUUCUUGAACGGAAGCUUCGAAUUGUUCGAUUCACAAUUAGCUCCAAAGUACGCAUCUGUUGUCGCAAAAAUAAUAUAUAUUUUUUUCGCCGAGAACAAUAUGCAAAUUAGUUUAUUUGCGUCUGUGAGUAAGCAGUUAGCUCUUUAUGGGAUAAUUUAUCGCCUGUUCCUGAAUCGAAUUAAAUUAUUUCGUCGAACGAAAAAUAAGAUUUAGUUUGGAUAUACGAAGAAGGUGUGGAGAAGCGAUCACGAAAAAGCGUUACGUCUUGCACACUCUCUCCUCGGCCUUCCCCUGAAACGUGUAGCAGCACGUUUCAAUUGAUCUACGUCGGCGACGCGAAAUUGAACGAGACUCGAAAUCAAUUUCGAUGCGUCAACCGACGAGAAUUAUUUAUAUAUCGAUUGUUAUAUCGAUACAUUUGUCGUUUGAAAUUCGUUUGAAUCGCUCAAAAAUAGAUUCGAAAGGACAUAUCGCGCAUUAAUUAAAUUAUGAUGAUAAUUAUUAUAUAUAAAAAAGACUCGUGCAAUUAUUUGCAAUUGCAAAACGACCAAAUUGAUAACUACAUUCCCCGAGUAAGUACGUACGUUAUGUACGUAUCGCGAUAAGAUGACUCGUUAAUCGGUAAAUAAAAUAAAAUCGUAUUGUGCUUAUUAAUAUUCCGUUCAACGAUAUCUCGUGUUAUCAAACCGUAUUACCUUCCACGCUAUUUUCACUUUAAUCACGCGUGCGUACCUCGUGUUAGCGACACGAUACGAAGAUCUUGCGUUAUCGUGAUCGUAUGAAAAUAAAACAGACAAGGAAGAAAAGAACAAACGUAUCCGCGAAUGUCAAACAAUUUUCUAUUAUCCAUUCUUCCAACGACAUAUCGUUAUAUAUAUUUCAAUAUACUUGCUUCACUUUCGAAUUUCACCUCGAAUCGACGUCACUUCUUCAAAUCAAAUUUCAUAACAAUUCUCGUUUCCCAAAUUUCAAAAUCGAGUCGAACAAGCGUUGGACAAGCGUUCGAUUCUUAUCACCCAGCCGGAGGAGAACGGAGCACGAGGGGGAAGAGGAGAGAGGAAGGGGACAGAGAUCGGAGGGUAGCCCGGUUCGGCGAUACACUUUCGGAUCCUUUCACUCGGAUUUUUAUUAGGAACUGCGAGCGUUAGCCGAGCCGUAAUGGCGGCGUUGGACGCGGCGGCGGCGGCAAGGACGCGGCCGGCUGAAAGGAGCGACGAUAAAAGGAGGAUCCGUUCGAAAGGCACGAAGGCAGGUUAUCCCGGGCGCAGGACCGCUCGCUUUCGCCGCGUUUAAAACGGCCGUUCCCUGGCGAAUCUGCCAGCCAAUCAAAACUCGCCUCUAAACAACGCGUCUCACGUUUUCAUUGUUUGCUGCACAUCGGUGAAGAUGUUUGCGGCUGAUCCAUCGCUUAAAAGUGAAUUGCGUUUUGAUAUCGCGAGUCGUAAUUAAUAUCGUUGAAGAAAAUUUGAUAAACUGGAUUAAUUUAAUAUAUAUAUAUUUUUUUUAAGUUGAAACUGGAGAUCGUGAAUCAAAUCAAUUUAGAUUUAGGUUUGGAUCCAGUAUUCAAAAUACGAGUAAAGAUUCGAGUAAAAA